AACACAAAGUUGGCCAGUGAUUGAUAUCUUGCAAGUCUUUAAAAUGUUUCAUCAGAUUUGAUAAGACCAAAAGCUUGAUAAAUCAUAUUACUGUAGCAGAAGUGUCUUUGGCCUCCAAAUUUACAAGAACACCAUUGUUCCCAAAUUUCCCAACAAAUGAUAUUAGGAGUGAUCUUCAACAAAAUUUUAUGGAUAUCAUUCUCCGGUCUUACACUCCACCAAGUGUUAAAGAUGUCGAUAAUUGAUUGAUUUACAUGUUGAAUUCCGA
This 268-nucleotide long non-coding RNA is filed under the name Capsicum annuum. RNAcentral describes it as "long non-coding RNA (CANN_LNC022143)". The record is from RNAcentral. Lineage: Eukaryota; Viridiplantae; Streptophyta; Magnoliopsida; Solanales; Solanaceae.